This is a long non-coding RNA of Pan troglodytes (chimpanzee), 6480 nucleotides long. RefSeq lists it as uncharacterized. NCBI's taxonomy places the organism in Eukaryota, Metazoa, Chordata, Mammalia, Primates, Hominidae. The transcript is spliced from 4 exons. The record is from RefSeq and is a predicted model, not a curated record.
CACCAAUGGAUUGGAAUGGAAUGUAGGAUUCUCUUCUUGCCCUACCCUGGAAUCAUUUGAUAUCCUUGUGUUAUCUUCCUCUACAAAAAGGGCUAGUUGAAAUAAUGACAUGUGGGAGAUCAGCACUCCAAGUCAAAAUUGCAAAACAGAAGAAAAUUCCAGAAUUAUAUCACUGUUAAUAGAUAAACCUUGCACUGUACCCAGUUGGAUUUCAGAACAUUGAAGAGCAGCAGCUUUUAUGGGAAUAAGAGUGUCCCUUACAGAGUCAAAAUCUGAAAAUAAAGUAGCUAUAAUGUUGAACAGCUGUACUCUAAGUCUACAGGGAGAGAGAAAACAAAACAAAUAAUCAGUUCAGCUCACCUAGAUAGAGGACACGAUUUAUAUUUCAGCGAGAAACAUUCAAAGGUAAGUAGAUUAUACUCUAAUAGUUAAUACCAAUAAUAAUAACUGAUGCUAUUACCAUCAUCUGAGAUUUUUGAGCCCCUUACUGAAAAACUUUAAUAAGCUGUCUGAUCUAAUCCCCAAAACAACUCUACUGUUUCGGUUUAGGAAAAAUUAAUCCCUCAUCAACUGUCAUUCAGCAUUUUAAACCUAGUGACAGGAUUCUACUUUAGAUUUAUCUUAUUAAAAAUUGUUUGCUCUUUCAUUCACAUUAACUUUUUUGGGUAUGAGUUAUAUAUUUCAGUAACUAACUGAGAAGUUAGUAUGUUGACAUCAACUCAGUGCAUAUUAGGCUUCCAUAAACACAGCAGCCAUUUUCUUUAAUAAAUGUAUCUACCACUGGCAGUUUGCCAGUCUGGGAGAGUAGAGGUGGAAUCUACAAAUAUCCUACUGGCAAAACAGAUUGGAUGUCUCUGAGCUAUCAGAAAAAUGUUUCAUAGCACCUUCCAUGGCUCUAUAUGUAUAGUGAAAUGUUGAAUAAAUAAGUAAUCUAAGCAAAUAAUCACUAAAGGGAGAAAAGAAGCAAUAAUUGAACAAACAGAAAUUAUAACCUGGAAUGAAAGAACAGGCAUUGUAACUUUUAUAAACAAACCAUCAAAAGAAACAGCAUUUGCCUUUCCAGCACUACCUUUGCUAGGGAUAGUAAACAAAUUUAAUUAUUCUGAAACACAUUUUAAGGAAAAACUCUAUUAAUGUUGUCAGUCAGCAGGUGGCAUGAAAGCAAUCCAGGAAUAAAUCAAGUUGUACCUAAGAUUUUUGUAGCAACCUUUGCAAGUGUUUAAAACUGAAUGAAUGUGGCCAUCUGUGACUGUUUAUACACAAAGGCCAUUUCAAUAACUUCAUAUAAACAAAAACAGACAAGAUUUUCAGCAGGCUCCUACCAGGUGCCCAGCCAUAUGAGAUUCAAUUUGUUCCCACUACCUUUUAUUGAGAAAAGAACCUGUAUUUAAUGAUCAGUGUAUCAUAAAGAAUCACCUUGUGAUUCAUCACUCAAAAUACAUGGAAAACUAACACAGAAAAAAAAGAGAUCAUGUAAAGUUCUAAUGUGCUGUUGCUAAAUGGCUUAUAUAGUAAAUGCUGUGCCCUAGACAAGCAUUAGCAGAUGCUGGUGUCUUCAUAACCUAUACAGUGGAACUUUGGAAUAGUGCUGAAUAAAUCCCAGUGUAAGACUUUUUGUUUGUAUGAAAAGUGUAGUGAAAGAAGGAGUAGUAAAUCAUGGUAAUUUCUAAUCUCUAAUUGAAUAUUCUAAUGUAAAUAUUCUAAUAUCAUUAUUCCCAUCCCUAUCUGUACCUUACAGCCAUAUUAAAACCACUUAGGGGCCCAUAGCAUUUCUCAAAAUGAAAAUACUCUAAUUCAUUUAUUUUCAUCCUUCUGUGAACAUUAAAACCACUAAAACCACGUAAUGAGGCUUUAAAAAGUCUAAAUAAAUUAGAAUACCUGUGGGUGGUAUCUAAGCACACCAGAUCUUCCAAUGUAUAGCAAGAACUGAAAAGUUACUGCUCUAUAGGAAAAACAAACACACAAAAAGUAGAAAUUUUUCUGAGAAUAAUGAAAAAUUACACAAACGUUGGCUAUGAAAACUAAAAGAAAAUUAAUUAGAAUGCAAGUUGUGUAUACAAUUAGAAUGAGAGAAUUUCAAGCUGAUUUUAAUAAGAAGAAAAAUGUCAACAUUCACUGGAAAAGGAAAAUGUUUUUUCUUUUAUUAUACACAACGAUUAACAGAAAAAGGAGUGUCAGAAAGAUUGUAGAAAUGAAAAAUGAAGUAUGAAAUAUAGUUACACAGAAACUAUAGUUUGUAAAAUUUAUUAAGAAAAACUUAAAAAUCAUUUUUAUGUUACCUACAUUUUAAAUUUUAUAUCAACCUAAGAUUGCAAGAAAUAAAAGUAUGUGACAAUCUGCCAUAUUUCUCUGUUGUGCUUUAGAAAUUACAUCUGUUUUACUAGAAGUCAAGUGAUACAAAAAAAGUCUUUACUCCUGAUAAAACAAGUAUAUAAUCAGGUUAAACUACUGUGCUAAAUUACUAUAAUCUAUAGAUUCUCCUCAAGUAAGAUCACCCUACUUGGCCAGUCAUCUGCACAAGGCUUACAACAAUGCUUCCGUAUGCUACCUCAUAAAUGCACUGUGCCAGUUCACAAAGUUCUAUGGCCAGAUCCUGGUUUCUGCUUACUGAUAUUGGUUCUCAGCCAUGUAAGCCAAGUGGAAAGAAACUUUAACCCCACACUAGAGUAUCAUCCAAUGCUUCAAGGCUUAGCUGAGCACUGUGAGUUUAAACUGUUUAUCAGCUUCCAGGAGAUCACCAGUAUUAAAUCUACCAGGCUUCAAACUGCCAUUUCACUCCACCACUAUUCUCCCUUACCAAAGAAUAUUUCCACUUCAAUUUUAUACUUACAGUGAUUUGUUUCCUUUUCCUACCCUAAGAUGACAUUUCUCUUUUCCAAACAAACUAAUUGUGCCUUUUGAAACUCCUGCUUCGUAAUUUAAAAUGAUAUAUUUUUCACGUGCAGAAACCUGCUUUUCCAAACCCCAUUCUCCAGAUGAUAAAGACCCUAUAAUUUUUAUGUCCAUAUUUCUUUUCCUCUUCACCUAUUUCCCUAUUCAGCUAAGAUUGUAUCAUCUUUGUUUCCAUUUUAUUUUCUUAUUUUUGCCUGGUAAUUCUGAGGUGCAGAUAAAUUUGACAUAUAGAUAAUUCUUGGAGACAUGAGACUAGAUAAGACCUACUAGGGAAAGAGAAACAUGCAAAGGGAAGAGGGAAGGAGUGCAUCUUAGAUUAUCAUCUGCAACUAUUUCAUUCUUCUGUUUUAUAUUGAGUCUGGUUUGGUAUCGUGCUAAACAUUUUACAUUUACAAUAUCAUUUAUUACUCAAUAGCACCUCUAUAAAUAAGUCUACUGACCUCAUUGCACAAAUAUGUAAAGUAACUUUCAAAAUGUCAAAUAAGUUGCCCUAAAUCACAUAGCUGUAACAUGAAAGAGAAAGAUUACUUAUCUCUACCUUAAAAAUUCCACUAUGCUCUUUCCACUAUGCUCUUUGUGCAAGAUACAUGGUAAAGUAGUUUGUGCAUAUCUUCACUUUCCCACCCAAAAUACAUUAAGAAAAGUAAGAUUACCCACGGAGGUAAGAAAGCAGUAUCAACUACCCAUUUCCUUCUUCUUUCUCUCUGGUUAUGGAAAAUUUACUUUCCAAAGGCAGGCAUUCUCUCCCAGGAAGGUCAUGAUUUCAGGGUCCUGAACUGUGACUAUUCUCUAGGUCCAUGCAUGUUUGUGUCUUUCUACAAGGUCAGACUUGUGCUGAUGCUGUUUCAAUUACAAAAGCCACAAGCUACAUGGAGUUUCCAAGGAAGAAAUUCUCUUUAGUACUUCCCAUUCACUCAGUAGUCAGAGCUAUGGAUACACGAGCUCAAGCCACUCCACAAGUCAGUCAAUAUUGCAAAACACACACAAUAGUAUAGUUGAUCAAUAUAUAAAUGUUGUAGAUUAAACAUUCCACGACAAAUUAACAUUUAACAUCAAGAGAAAAGGAAUGGGAAAAGGGUUAGCAAACCAGUCCAGGGAGAGCAAUGUAGACAAAAAGAAUAUCUUUGUCUGGCCCGGGUAGUCUAUCAGUCUUACAAGGCAGAGUGUUUGAUGUGGACAGAGUCUUUGGUGGCAGAUGUUGGGUACUUAUCACGAGUGACAGCAAGACAGUGUCUGUUAAGACAGCUGUCUUGAGAUGGUGAAGUCCUGUACUUUUUAUGGCCAAGGAGUCCUCUGGUGAGGACUGAUAGUGGAGGAGUGUGCUCUGCUAUGUCCUUAUCUGGUUGGAAGCAGUCUUCAUUUAUUAGGCAAAACAUCCAGUCCUUGGUGGCAUAAGUGCCCUAUGAAAUAUAAGACAGAGUCUUUUUCUAAGAUGGAAUUAUCUUGAUCUAAGUAAUCAAGUACAACUGUACUGCACUUGAUUUCCACUAAUCGAAACUAGAGGAGGUUGGUAAUGUCAGAAAAAACUGAAAUAGAAAGGAUGUGUCCACCAGAACCAUCACAAGAUAUGACAAAGGUUAAGAUUUUUAAUAGUUCCAUUUAUCAGCUUAUGUGAUUCAGAGAUGGGCAAAUUUUUGGUGGUUCUAAACCAUAAAUCCUUUUAUAUAAGAAAACAGAGCUUAUUUCUUACUGGUGUCUCUACUGCUAAGACCAGUUUAGAAGAAUUUUCUGACUAAAAUGGACCUAAAUGGUUUAUUCUACUUAGUGAGACAAAGCUUACUAAUAUAUACACAUAAAUUAAUUGUAUGGUGAAGUGUCAAGAAUGGUGAAAAACCAAUUACUGUAAAAUUUAGUUUUAUGAAACAGUCAUCUAUAAUGCUCAUGGAUUCUGUGGUCAAGAUUUCAGAUGGGGCAUUGCAGAGAUAGUUUGUCCCUGCUCCAUUAUGUCUAUGGCCUCAACUGUGAGACCCAAAGACUAGGGCCUCUUUUGAAGGGUCAUUUACUUGCGUAUCUUUUGAUGGUUGAUGCUGGUUGUUGAGAUUCAGUUCGUAUCCAUUGUGCCUUGACAAGUGGUCUCUCCAGAGUGGCUGGUUCAGGCUAGCUCACAGUAUGAUGAAUGUCUUUCAUAGCCAUGUAUCCUGUGAGAGUAAAACACAGGUAGGAAAUGACAUUUUUAAGGCCAAGCAUUUAACUCACAUGGAAUUCACUUUCCACUAUUUUCUAUGGAGAGAAGCAAUUGCAUCACCAACUCAGAUUCCAGAGAAGGGAAUAGAUUUCACCUGCUGAGUGAAGAAGUAUCAGUCACAUUUUUAAAAUAACAUGUGAGAAGAUAUAUAUGACCAUCUUUGGAAAAUAAAAUACACUAUAAAUAUUGAUAUUAAUUUGUCAUUUAUCAGAGAGAAAUGGAAAAUUCUUCAUGUCCUUGUUCUCUUACCUUCAUCAUUUAUUGUUAGACAUUCAUAAACAAUUAAUUUUUAAAUUUCCUGUAUACCAAACCACCUCUCAAAUUACAAGGAAUAUGUAGGUAUUAUAAAACUUAAUAGCGAUCAGUUGCCCCUCUUUUAAAAAUAAAUAUCUGAUUUCAAUUGGUUUUGAUGUAAUAAUAUGGCAUAUAAAUAUCCUGUAAGCUAUUUUGUGAGAGGCACUGGCAUAUCUAUUUAGAGAUAUAAAUACAUUUACAGAAAAUUGAAGAUAAUAUUUCUUAAAAGAUCUAAAUCACAGUAAAUUUAGGCCAAAACUCUACCAAGUAAAUCCCCAGCGACAACUGCCUUACAUAACAUCAUAGUUGUGAAACAGUUAUAUGGAUAUUUUCUUUAAAUAAGAAUUUAUUUCUAAAGAAACCUUUAAGAAAAUAUGACAGCACUAUAGAAAAUUUCUUGGAGAAGAGCUCAGAAUAGUUAAUCUAUAGAUAGUGUUUAUCAAUCCCUACAGUCUUAUUUAGGUUAUUUUUAUUAUAAAUUAAUUCAAGUAAUUUAUAUCAUUAUCAAUCUUUCUACAUCAUUAUAUUCUUAUCAAUUUUCUUUGACUAACGCAAUCCCCAAGCAGAGGCAUACUAUAAUACAUCAUCUUGUAAUUGCAAUAUAUAUAUAUAGCAAGAUGAUAUAUCUUGUAAUUGUCAAAUCUUUAAGAAAAAUAACAGAGAAACAGUGUCACUUUUCAUUAGAAUUAUUGGUAACAUAUCUAAUCAACACAUUGAUUUUCCUAAGCUAAUUUUUCUUAAAAUAUUUUAUAAUUCUCUAAACAUUUCUAAAAUAGAAAAAGCUUAACAUAAAAAUGAGUUUUUAUAAACCUUCUAAACUUUUCCUUUCGUAUACAGAAAUCGAUAAAAAAGGUAAAAACAUAGAAAAAAUCUUUGAAAAUUGGAUUUAGCUAAGAUUUGUUAAACAAUACACAAAAUAAAAAACACAAAAAUUGAUAAAAUAUACUUCACCAACAUUAAAAAUAUUUGCUUUUUAAAUACAUAGCUAAGGACAUAGAAAAGCAAUUGAGAGAAAUUUUUGCUAAUCCCACAAUGGCUUACUGUUCAGAAUAUGGAAAGAACUCUUAUAAGUCAAAAUUAAUAGUAGGACAACCCAAUUGAAAAUUAGG